GCGGCCCUGGGCAGGCAGGAGCGGCGGCCACACAGCGGCCCUGGGCAGGUGGGAGCGGCCACCACACAGCAGCACAGACCCUGAGCCGGCGCAGUUCCUCCAGCCACGCCAGCUGCACCUUGGCUGUGUCCCUGCCGGGCCCCAAACACCUGUGUCCGUGCCACUGGCCGCCUCUUCCCUGCCGUGUCACCCCCACCCCUGCCAAGUGUUCUGUGUGUUUUCACUGCAGGUGAUGUGGGAAAGGGCAAGUCUCAGUUCAACAUUCUGGUUCCUUGGGGGCUGUCGGAACAAUCGUGUGUUCUUUCCAGAGUUUUCUCUGUCUGGGUUUAGAUGCCCACACACGGGAACAUGUAUUCAAUCCCUGUGCGUAUAGAUGGUGCCAUAUACGGAGAGAGGCAUAGAUUGUCUUACGAGAGUGGGGUCGCGUUGCACUGUGGCUUUUUACCUUCUUAGCUUCAUUUUAUCCCGAGCGGCCCCCGAGCCAUCCAGGGAUCCCUGCUGGCCCCUCCCAGGCCCUGUCCGGAGUGCUGAACACAGAGCAGCAGGUGCCGCCAGUCCCCAGCCUCUUGGAGCCCCAUUCCCUCUGGGCGUCGUAGACAGUCGAGUUCAGCACAUCUCUACAUGGAGUUUCGCAAAAGGCAACCACUUUGAAAUGGGAGGGCCGCAGCGCCAUGGCCUGACGACGCCUGCAAAAAGAGGAAUCCGGAGAGCACUCCUGGACCCGUUUCUUCUUAAUCGUCUUCAUCUCAAAGGCCCUUCCUGUUUUGGGGAGUCACACACUCUUCUGACACUGACGACCUGGAGUAUCACAGACCCUGAAGGCCUGGGCCCAAGGAAUCUCGGGAGGUGGAAAUGGACACCCGGGGCCACAGAAGCUGCGCAGGUAAAUAAAAAGGCCUAAUGGGCCCAUCAGGCCCUGAGCUCCCUGCUUCCUGAGGAGCUGUCUUCUGCUGGAACUUGGAGGCCACGUGGGCAGAAUGAAACUCCUGCUUCCGACAGCAGACGGCAGCAGUGACCUACUCCUGGCCGCCCUGCCCAUCUGGAGCGGGUUCUGGGUCUUUUGGGCCCUUUGAGGUUGGUCCACCCUCCUGCCCCGGCAGCAGCCCGUAUUUUACUCCCAGUUGCUCCAGCAUCCCCCAACCCCCUUCCCCAUAAGUAACCUGCCCCCACGCUUGUCCUGGAGCCACGGUGUGGAAGAUUCCAGCAGCAUUGAGGGACCAAAUUUUAUAUACAGUGUUUCCUCCAAGCACGGAGCUCUGAUGUGCCUUUUCCAGGGCCAAAGGCCCCUUCAGCAAUCUUCAGGCUUCCCGCUCCACCUCACCUUCUGUACUGCUGCCAGGCUGACAACAGCCCCCGGGUCUGUGGCUGGCCCCUCUCUCCCAGAGCAUCUUGGCCUGCAGUGCUGGCCACAGCCAGAGAGAGGGAAGAGACAGCCCCAGCAGUAACCACAGGUGCCUUCGGCCCACGCACCUGCCGGUCGGCCCCAAGGGUGCCAGGCCUUCCUCUCCUAUCGCCCCUGUGGGGCUCCAAAGGGCAGCCAGGAGCCCCAGCUCUGCUGUGGCUUUGCUGUUCCCCAACUGUGAGACCCUCAGAGAGCUGCCGGGCGCAGGUUUCCUCCUCGGCCAGCGAGCAGUCAGACCAGGCUUCGGACUCCUCUACUGUUCCAGGGUGGAGGGGAGGACCCAGGAGACCCAACGGCCUGGAUGCCAACAGCCAGUGCGGCCUGACGAUGCCAUAGGGCACAGGGACAGGCUCUCCGUCCUCUGCGGCCCUGUUCUGCUCCCACCCCAGUGCCCUCCUUUCACCCUGGGGUCCUCCCUGGACCAACAGCUGCCACCCACAGCACACUGGGAUAUUUGUGCUGGCCUAGCUACUACCUGACACAGCUGACCACCUCACCCAGCUGAGGACCUGACCCAUCUGACCACCUCACCCAGCUGACUACCCAACCCGUGUAACCACCUCACCCGGCUGACUCCCCGACCCGUGUAACCACCUCACCCGGCUGACUCCCCGACCCGUGUAACCACCUCACCCGGCUGACUCCCCGACCCGUGUAACCACCUCACCCGGCUGACUCCCCGACCCGUGUAACCACCUCACCCGGCUGACUCCCCGACCCGUGUAACCACCUCACCCGGCUGACUCCCCGACCCGUGUAACCACCUCACCCGGCUGACUCCCCGACCCGUGUAACCACCUCACCCGGCUGACUCCCCGACCCGUGUAACCACCUCACCCGGCUGACUCCCCGACCCGUGUAACUACCUCACCCGGCUGACUCCCCGACCCGUGUAACUACCUCACCCGG
Long non-coding RNA from Pan troglodytes (chimpanzee), 2311 nucleotides. RefSeq lists it as uncharacterized. The transcript is spliced from 4 exons. NCBI's taxonomy places the organism in Eukaryota, Metazoa, Chordata, Mammalia, Primates, Hominidae. The record is from RefSeq and is a predicted model, not a curated record.